AACGAACGCUGGCGGCAUGCCUAACACAUGCAAGUCGAACGAGACCUUCGGGUCUAUUGGCGCACGGGUGCGUAACGCGUGGGAUCCUGCCCUUAGGUUCGGAAUAACUCCCCGAAAGGGGUGCUAAUACCGGAUAAUGUCUUCGGACCAAAGAUUUAUCGCCUUUGGAUGGGCCCGCGUUGGAUUAGCUAGUUGGUAGGGUAAAAGCCUACCAAGGCGACGAUCCAUAGCUGGUCUGAGAGGAUGAUCAGCCACACUGGGACUGAGACACGGCCCAGACUCCUACGGGAGGCAGCAGUGGGGAAUAUUGGACAAUGGGCGAAAGCCUGAUCCAGCAAUGCCGCGUGAGUGAUGAAGGCCUUAGGGUUGUAAAGCUCUUUUACCCGGGAUGAUAAUGACAGUACCGGGAGAAUAAGCUCCGGCUAACUCCGUG
Molecule: ribosomal RNA, 433 nt
Filed under: uncultured bacterium
Lineage: Bacteria
Description: partial 16S ribosomal RNA
Rfam family: Bacterial small subunit ribosomal RNA
Source: RNAcentral